RNAcentral lists this ribosomal RNA (487 nucleotides) under uncultured Bacillota bacterium. RNAcentral's name for it is "bacterial SSU rRNA". It matches the Rfam family "Bacterial small subunit ribosomal RNA", at positions 355 to 835 of the family's 1533-position model. Lineage: Bacteria; Bacillati; Bacillota. The record is from RNAcentral.
UAGGGAAUCUUCGGCAAUGGGCGAAAGCCUGACCGAGCAACGCCGCGUGAGCGAUGAAGGCCUUCGGGUCGUAAAGCUCUGUUGUUAAGGAAGAACAAGUACGAGAGUAACUGCUCGUACCUUGACGGUACUUAACGAGAAAGCCACGGCUAACUACGUGCCAGCAGCCGCGGUAAUACGUAGGUGGCGAGCGUUAUCCGGAAUUAUUGGGCGUAAAGCGCGCGCAGGCGGUUUCUUAAGUCUGAUGUGAAAGCCCACGGCUCAACCGUGGAGGGUCAUUGGAAACUGGGAAACUUGAGUGCAGAAGAGGAAAGCGGAAUUCCACGUGUAGCGGUGAAAUGCGUAGAGAUGUGGAGGAACACCAGUGGCGAAGGCGGCUUCUGGUCUGUAACUGACGCUGAGGCGCGAAGCGUGGGGAGGCAAACAGGAUUAGAUACCCUGGUAGUCCACGCCGUAAACGAUGAGUGCUAGGUGUUGGGGGGUUCCG